RNAcentral lists this long non-coding RNA (838 nucleotides) under Sorghum bicolor (sorghum). RNAcentral describes it as "long non-coding RNA (SBIC_LNC009825)". The record is from RNAcentral. Lineage: Eukaryota; Viridiplantae; Streptophyta; Magnoliopsida; Poales; Poaceae.
AAAAUGCUUAAAUGCCAUAUUUCGUUUCACUUGAUCAGUUUGAGCAUUUGCUAGCACUUGUACUUAUUGCUAUACACACAUGACAACACCACCUAGAGCAUCUUUUCAAUAUGAUUGCUAUACUCCUGAAGCUUCUGCAUUUGUGCAUUCCUUGCAUUCAUAGCAUGAUUUGAGGGGGAGUUGCACUCCUUUGGGCAAAUCUUGAUAAGUGCAUGUGUCAACAAGGGGGAGAAAGUUACACACAAAAAGAGAGACAUGCAUUUAUUUGAGAGAGAUUGCAUUUGCUCAGGGGGAGUUGCCUUUAAGUUGCUUUUGCUAGAUGUGUUGAGCCUUUGCCUCUUCUGGAGGGUCUAGUUGUUUUCAGGCCUUUCGAGCUUUGCUAGCGGUGUUGAGCCCGUUUGCCUCUUCUUGAGGGCUAGCUAUGUUUUACUUGGUUGUGUCGAGCCUUUGCCCAUGUCUUUGGGGACCAAGUUUUUGCCAAGCGUUGCUCACUUCAAAUGAUCCUGUUUUGGCUUUCUCUGGCUUUUGGUCAUUUGGGUGAGUUCUUCCUUCCUCUUUCUCUAUUUCUUCUUUUGCUCAAGCUGUUCGUGUGAGGAUGUUGACAAUGCACUCAUCAAGGGGGAGAUUGCGAACACAAGGUCGAGAAGUACCCUUGUGGUACGUUUUGUGAUGAGUGAUUGUCAACGUGAUCCACGAAUAGGUUGAGUUGGUGACUAACAUUACCAUGGCGAAAGCUAUGUGUGCGACAUGUCUCUUGGCUUGUGGUGUUCAGCUAUGGAGCUCGGAGGCGGUGGUCAACGGCGAGGUGAAGGUCAAGUAGAGACGUGCCGUGCUGAUG